GUCUUUUUGGUAUUAAUUUAAGGUUUAACCUGCCCAAUGAAAAUUUGAAUGGCCGCGGUAUUUUGACUGUGCUAAGGUAGCAUAAUCAUUAGUUUUUUAAUUGAAAGCUGGAAUGAAGGGUUGGAUGAAAAAUUAACUGUCUCUAAUUAAUUUUAUUAGAAUUUUAUUUUUAAGUUAAAAAGCUUAAAUUUAUUUAAAAGACGAGAAGACCCUAUAGAGUUUAAUAUAUUUAAUUUAUAAAUAUUUAGUAUUUAUUUUUUAUAAUUGUUAUAUAUUUGAUUGGGGUGAUUAAAAAAUUUAAUAAACUUUUUUUAUAAAUUUAUAUUGAUUAAUAAAUUAAUGAUCCAAAAAUUUUGAUUAUAAGAUAAAUUACCUUAGGGAUAACAGCGUAAUUUUAUUAAAGA
RNAcentral lists this ribosomal RNA (404 nucleotides) under Longitarsus tabidus. RNAcentral's name for it is "partial 16S large subunit ribosomal RNA". Lineage: Eukaryota; Metazoa; Arthropoda; Insecta; Coleoptera; Chrysomelidae. The record is from RNAcentral.